Harmonia axyridis is the source of this 729-nucleotide RNA transcript. It is a transcript of the gene named cold and drought-regulated protein CORA-like, with no coding region annotated. Lineage: Eukaryota; Metazoa; Arthropoda; Insecta; Coleoptera; Coccinellidae. The record is from RefSeq and is a predicted model, not a curated record. The transcript is spliced from 2 exons.
UUUUGAAAUUUGUCUACUUAUCAUGAAAAUAUAAAUUUAUAUCAAUUCAAAUGACUCCUAAUGCUAUUAGGCCCCUAUAAAUGUUGAUAUUCUGGAAAUUUUUCACGCUAUGUUUGUUAUGUGACAAUUGUUGUUUGAUACUGCAUACAUGCAUACUAACUCUAGAAAUUUGCGGUCCACCGGAGGAUGCCUUAGAAAGAGAUAAUUAAAAUAUUCAUGAGGUGCAGUUAACUACGAUUUUUCCCAGAUAAUUGUUUAUAUAUUUAUGGUGGAUAUAGUAUAAAAGAACACGAUCUGUAUUAUUCGAGAAUAAUUGUCUUCUAGGUUGAACAUUUUACAAUAUGCUGAAGCUAUACGUUCUCAUCAUCGUUGCCGCUAUGUUAGGGACUGUCCUCUGUGAAGCUGAUAGAGGGUAUAGCCAUGGAGGCCAUAGAGGAUAUGGAGGUGGUCAUGGUCAUGGUCAUGGUCAUGGAGGCGGCUAUGGAAGUAGCCACGGUCAUGGAGGUGGUCAUGGUCAUGGAGGUCAUAGAGGUGGUCACGGUCAUGGUUGGCAUGGAUAAAGUUUAAAUUCAUGAACGAUUUGAUUUGACAAUAGAACUUGUUGAGAUUCUUCAAUAUAAAUAUAUAAUAAUAAUAAUAAUAUAAUAAUGAUAAUAAUAUAAUAAUAAUAAUAUAAUAAUAAGAGAGUUUAUUCAUGAAAAUACAUUCAAUAAACUCUAUAAUACUGUA